RNAcentral lists this ribosomal RNA (530 nucleotides) under Triticum dicoccoides. RNAcentral's name for it is "rRNA LSU_rRNA_eukarya". It matches the Rfam family "Bacterial large subunit ribosomal RNA", at positions 2090 to 2612 of the family's 2925-position model. Lineage: Eukaryota; Viridiplantae; Streptophyta; Magnoliopsida; Poales; Poaceae. The record is from RNAcentral.
CCUAUGAAGCUUUACUGUUCCCUGGGAUUGGCUUUGGGCCUUUCCUGUGCAGCUUAGGUGGAAGGCGAAGAAGGAGGCCCCCUUUCGGGGGGGCCCGAGCCAUCAGUGAGAUACCACUCUGGAAGAGCUCGGAUUCUAACCUUGUGUCAGACCCGCGGGCCAAGGGACAGUCUCAAGUAGACAGUUUCUAUGGGGCGUAGGCCUCCCAAAAGGUAACGGAGACGUGCAAAGGUUUCCUCGGGCCAGACGGACAUUGGUCCUCGAGUGCAAAGGAAGAAGGGAGCUUGACUGCAAGACUCACCCGUCGAGCAGAGACGAAAGUCGGCCUUAGUGAUCCGACGGUGCCAAGUGGAAGGGUCGUCGCUCAACGGAUAAAAGUUACUCUAGGGAUAAUAGGCUGAUCUUCCCCAAUAGUCCACAUCGAUGGGAAGGUUUGGCACCUCGAUGUCGGCUAUUCGCCACCUGGAGCUGUAGGUGGUUCCAAGGGUUGGGCUGUUCGCCCAUUAAUGCGCAUCAAUAUGGUCAGGUAA